RNAcentral lists this unclassified non-coding RNA (376 nucleotides) under uncultured Gammaproteobacteria bacterium. RNAcentral describes it as "contains 16S-23S intergenic spacer region". Lineage: Bacteria; Pseudomonadati; Pseudomonadota; Gammaproteobacteria. The record is from RNAcentral.
UCCGGUUUGUCACCGGCAGUCUCAUUAGAGUGCCCAACUGAAUGUAGCAACUAAUGACAAGGGUUGCGCUCGUUGCGGGACUUAACCCAACAUCUCACGACACGAGCUGACGACAGCCAUGCAGCACCUGUGUACUGGUUCUCUUUCGAGCACUCCCGCCUCUCAGCAGGAUUCCAGCCAUGUCAAGGGUAGGUAAGGUUUUUCGCGUUGCAUCGAAUUAAUCCACAUCAUCCACCGCUUGUGCGGGUCCCCGUCAAUUCCUUUGAGUUUUAAUCUUGCGACCGUACUCCCCAGGCGGUCUACUUCACGCGUUAGCUGCGUUACCAAGUCAAUUAAGACCCGACAACUAGUAGACAUCGUUUAGGGCGUGGACUAC